This 258-nucleotide unclassified non-coding RNA is filed under the name Hevea brasiliensis (rubber tree). The record is from RNAcentral. Lineage: Eukaryota; Viridiplantae; Streptophyta; Magnoliopsida; Malpighiales; Euphorbiaceae.
UAUAUUCUGCCUAAAAUAAGUUCUGAUACGCAUCACAGGAGCAGAAAGGUAUCUUUGUUUCAUUAUGGUCAUAAAAAUGAUAUGUAAAUAAGCUAAGGAUGAGAUGCUAUCCCAGAUCAGCAUCCUGCUUCCUGCUUAGUAAGGUUGCAUGCUUACCAGGAGGACUGCCUUGAUAUUUUAUUGGGAAGUCAACCAUGUUGCUCCUGAUUCUGCUUAGUCCCUCUUUGUUUUCAACAGCACAUCAACAGUGUCUUCUUG